Molecule: ribosomal RNA, 307 nt
Filed under: uncultured eukaryote
Lineage: Eukaryota
Description: partial 18S ribosomal RNA
Rfam family: Eukaryotic small subunit ribosomal RNA
Source: RNAcentral
CCCUUAGACGUUCUGGGCCGCACGCGCGCUACACUGACACAGGCAACGAGCUUUCCUUUACCGAAAGGUAUGGGUAAUCUUUUGAAACUGUGUCGUGCUGGGGAUAGAUCCUUGCAAUUUUUGAUCUUAAACGGGGAAUUCCUAGUAAGCGCGAGUCAUCAACUCGCGUUGAUUACGUCCCUGCCCUUUGUACACACCGCCCGUCGCUACUACCGAUUGAAUGGCUUAGUGAGGCCUCAGGAUCCGCGCUUAAUGUGUGGAGAAUUUGGACAAACUACGUCAUUUAGAGGAAGUAAAAGUCGUAACA